RNAcentral lists this ribosomal RNA (310 nucleotides) under Leptolyngbya sp. AUS-JR/SD/MS/NT-049. RNAcentral's name for it is "bacterial SSU rRNA". It matches the Rfam family "Bacterial small subunit ribosomal RNA", at positions 149 to 498 of the family's 1533-position model. The record is from RNAcentral. Lineage: Bacteria; Bacillati; Cyanobacteriota; Cyanophyceae; Leptolyngbyales; Leptolyngbyaceae.
ACUGGAACGGUAGCUAAUACCGCAUGAGCCUGAGGGUAAAAGAUUAAUUGUCUGUAGAUGAGCUCGCGUCCGAUUAGGUAGUUGGUGGAGUAACGGUUUACCAAGCCUGUGAUCGGUAGCUGGUCUGAGAGGAUGACCAGUCACACUGGAACUGAGAGACGGUCCAGACUCCUACGGGAGGCAGCAGUGGGGAAUUUUCCGCAAUGGGCGAAAGCCUGACGGAGCAAGACCGCGUGGGGGAGGAAGGUUUGUGGAUUGUAAACCCCUUUUAUGGUGAAGAGAUGACGGUGCCAUUGAAUCAGCAUCGGCU